Molecule: ribosomal RNA, 274 nt
Filed under: uncultured bacterium
Lineage: Bacteria
Description: partial 16S ribosomal RNA
Rfam family: Bacterial small subunit ribosomal RNA
Source: RNAcentral
AUACGGAGGGUGCGAGCGUUAAUCGGAAUUACUGGGCGUAAAGCGCGCGUAGGCGGCUAAGUAAGUCGGAUGUGAAAGCCCUGGGCUCAACCUGGGAAUUGCAUUCGAUACUGCUUGGCUAGAGUAUGGUAGAGGGUAGUGGAAUUUCCGGUGUAGCGGUGAAAUGCGUAGAUAUCGGAAGGAACACCAGUGGCGAAGGCGACUUCCUGGGCCAAUACUGACACUGAGGUGCGAAAGCGUGGGGAGCAAACAGGAUUAGAAACCCCAGUAGUCC